GAACGGUCCAGAUCUUCGGAUGCUGACGAGUAGGCGGACGGGUGAGUAAUGCGUAGGAAUCUGUCUUUUAGUGGGGGACAACCCAGGGAAACUUGGGCUAAUACCGCAUGAGCCCUGAGGGGGAAAGCGGGGGAUCUUCGGACCUCGCGCUAAGGGAAGAGCCUACGUCUGAUUAGCUAGUUGGUAGGGUAAAGGCCUACCAAGGCGACGAUCAGUAGCUGGUCUGAGAGGACGACCAGCCACACUGGGACUGAGACACGGCCCAGACUCCUACGGGAGGCAGCAGUGGGGAAUUUUUCGCAAUGGGGGCAACCCUGACGAAGCAAUGCCGCGUGGAUGAAGAAGGCCUUCGGGUUGUAAAGUCCUUUCGUGGGGGACGAAAAGGCGGGUCCUAAUACGAUCUGCUGUUGACGUGAACCCAAGAAGAAGCACCGGCUAACUCCGUGCCAGCAGCCGCGGUAAUACGGGGGGUGCAAGCGUUAAUCGGAAUCACUGGGCGUAAAGGGUGCGUAGGCGGUACGUUAGGUCUGUCGUGAAAUCCCCGGGCUCAACCUGGGAAUGGCGGUAGAAACCGGCGCACUAGAGUAUGGGAGAGGGUGGUGGAAUUCCAGGUGUAGCGGUGAAAUGCGUAGAGAUCUGGAGGAACAUCAGUGGCGAAGGCGGCCACCUGGCCCAAUACUGACGCUGAGGCACGAAAGCGUGGGGAGCAAACAGGAUUAGAUACCCUGGUAGUCCACGCCCUAAACGAUGAAUACUAGAUGUUUGGUACCUAGCGUACUGAGUGUCGUAGCUAACGCGAUAAGUAUUCGCCUGGGAAGUACGGCCGCAAGGCUAAAACUCAAGGAUUGACGGGGGCCCGCACAAGCGGUGGAGCAUGUGGCUUUAUUCGAUGCACGCGAGUACUUACCUGGCUCGACAUGUCCGGAUUCUGCAGAAGAUG
This 940-nucleotide ribosomal RNA is filed under the name Acidithiobacillus ferrooxidans. RNAcentral describes it as "bacterial SSU rRNA". It matches the Rfam family "Bacterial small subunit ribosomal RNA", at positions 64 to 1008 of the family's 1533-position model. Lineage: Bacteria; Pseudomonadati; Pseudomonadota; Acidithiobacillia; Acidithiobacillales; Acidithiobacillaceae. The record is from RNAcentral.